AUUGAACGCUGGCGGCAUGCCUUACACAUGCAAGUCGAACGGUAACAGGUCUUCGGAUGCUGACGAGUGGCGAACGGGUGAGUAAUACAUCGGAACGUGCCCGAUCGUGGGGGAUAACGAGGCGAAAGCUUUGCUAAUACCGCAUACGAUCUACGGAUGAAAGCGGGGGGUCUUCGGACCUCGCGCGGACGGAGCGGCCGAUGGCAGAUUAGGUAGUUGGUGGGAUAAAAGCUUACCAAGCCGACGAUCUGUAGCUGGUCUGAGAGGAUGAUCAGCCACACUGGGACUGAGACACGGCCCAGACUCCUACGGGAGGCAGCAGUGGGGAAUUUUGGACAAUGGGCGAAAGCCUGAUCCAGCCAUGCCGCGUGCAGGAUGAAGGCCUUUGGGUUGUAAACUGCUUUUGUACGGAACGAAAAGCCUCUUUCUAAUAAAGAGGGGUCAUGACGGUACCGUAAGAAUAAGCACCGGCUAACUACGUG
Molecule: ribosomal RNA, 482 nt
Filed under: uncultured bacterium
Lineage: Bacteria
Description: partial 16S ribosomal RNA
Rfam family: Bacterial small subunit ribosomal RNA
Source: RNAcentral